GUUAGACCUCUAGUCUAAGCUGGCCCACACUGAGCCUGCAGAGAAGCUAAAAUGAGGCUGUGGCUGCUGAGUUUAGUGGCAGGGAUCAUCCUGGGGGUGGCCGGGACCCCCCUGGGAAAAGCCUCAACAGGAAGAGAACGAGCAAAGGAGGAAAAGACAGCAUCGAAUGACGAUGAUAUCCCUAAAACUUCACUCAGUUGUAUUGGUAGCUGCACUAAAUCUCAGAUACACCAUUUGGAUAGUUCUGAGAAAGAAAAAGGAGAAGGAAAAGAACAAACAGAGCCUGAUCCCUACAAAGAGUCCCCAGGUACCCUGGACCUUCAAAGGACCAUCCUCCUCCAGCUGCUUAACCAGACAACAUCUAUGAACAGGAGCUCACAAAUGGAUUUUAUCCUUCGAAAUCUAAAUGGCAGCAGCAUCAGAGAUCUCUGUGAGGGCUGCUGUGAGGAGAGAGAGAAAGAGGAACUAUACCUAAGCAGGCAACCAAGGAAGACACUGAAGUCUCCCAGGAAGAGAAGACCUGGCCAGUGGACAAUCCUUGGGAGUUUGCCUCUCCCAAUUGGAAACAGUUCCAUCAAUAUGGUGAUGAUGUUUCAUAAUGACACUCAUAUUGACUAUCAAGCUAAGAAAGUCACACACCAGGCUGAGAACCUCAGAGAAGGGUGGUGCUCUGGCUGCUGUGAAGACAAUGGAACCCUGGGGGCCCUUGAGAGAAGAGAGGGAGAAGAAGUCAAAGAAGUGCCUCCUAUUAGCACUGAUCAUGGUGGUCAGGUCCUAGGGAACUCUGGUUCCACAGAGAAGAGAUUGGCUCACCUUUCUGAAGUUUCCCAUGAAGCUAGAGGGCAGUUUGAUCUCGGACUUAGUAAAUACCCUACAGAAACCUUUCCUGUCUUCCCCACAAGCUAAACCAUGCUCUAGUCUACCUUGAAUAAGACCUAGUGCAAUGCCCAGCAGGAACAGAGCACCACGAGAAAUACUUUACUUAUGCUAAAGCAAUAAUUCUGGGAAAUAAAAGGUCCUGUGUUCCAUUCCCUCCA
This 1037-nucleotide long non-coding RNA is filed under the name Vombatus ursinus (common wombat). Its description in RNAcentral is "lncRNA (ENSVURG00010007274.1)". The record is from RNAcentral. Lineage: Eukaryota; Metazoa; Chordata; Mammalia; Diprotodontia; Vombatidae.